UACGUAGGGUGCAAGCGUUAAUCGGAAUUACUGGGCGUAAAGGGUGCGUAGGUGGCUCUAUAAGUAUGGUGUGAAAUCUCCCGGCUUAACUGGGAGGGUGCGCCGUAGACUGUGGGGCUAGAGUGUGGGAGAGGAAAGUGGAAUUCCUGGUGUAGCGGUGAAAUGCGUAGAUAUCAGGAGGAACACCGGUGGUGUAAACGGCUUUCUGGACCAUAAACUGACACUGGAGGCACGAAAGCGUGGGUAGCAAACAGG
Molecule: ribosomal RNA, 255 nt
Filed under: uncultured bacterium
Lineage: Bacteria
Description: partial 16S ribosomal RNA
Rfam family: Bacterial small subunit ribosomal RNA
Source: RNAcentral